This 488-nucleotide long non-coding RNA is filed under the name Olea europaea (common olive). RNAcentral describes it as "long non-coding RNA (OEUR_LNC015517)". The record is from RNAcentral. Lineage: Eukaryota; Viridiplantae; Streptophyta; Magnoliopsida; Lamiales; Oleaceae.
UCAUUAGCUUCAAAUGUUACAGAUUCUUAUCUAAUCAAAUUUUUAUUAACUAUGAUUAUUUGCCAAUAAAUAAAUUUUGAGUUUUAGGAGCCAAUUCAUUUUGGGAGUGAAAUUAAUAAAUCAACAAUGGCGAUGGCAACUUUCUCCUCCAAUUACAAUCCAUUUGUAUGCUGUACCACAGGUGACUUGUGAACAAAUUUGCUUUCAAUCUCACAAUCACAACACAGGAUCUGAUCUGAUGAGCUAGGAGAUAAGUUUAGUUACACUUCAAAUAAUAGAUAAAUGAUUUGAUAAUCUCAUUUAAAAGGAAUCUGGAUACGGCAAAAAUUGGAAUAUUGACAAAUAAAUUUUGCAAAUAAUAGUCCUCUCAACAAAAACACAACAAAAACCUUAAAAUCAUGGAUCUUGAACAAUAUUGAACCCAAAUUCCAAAGAAAAGAAGAAGAUGGAAUUUCUAGAGUUUUCUAACCAAGAAAAAAAAAUAUCGC